AGUGAACGCUGGCGGUAGGCCUAACACAUGCAAGUCGAACGGCAGCACAGUAAGAGCUUGCUCUUACGGGUGGCGAGUGGCGGACGGGUGAGGAAUACAUCGGAAUCUACUUUUUCGUGGGGGAUAACGUAGGGAAACUUACGCUAAUACCGCAUACGACCUACGGGUGAAAGCAGGAGAUCUUCGCACCUUGCGCGAUUGAAUUAGCCGAUGUCGGAUUAGCUAGUUGGCUGGGUAAAGGCCCACCAAGGCGACGAUCCGUAGCUGGUCUGAGAGGAUGAUCAGCCACACUGGAACUGAGACACGGUCCAGACUCCUACGGGAGGCAGCAGUGGGGAAUAUUGGACAAUGGGCGAAAGCCUGAUCCAGCCAUACCGCGUGGGUGAAGAAGGCCUUCGGGUUGUAAAGCCCUUUUGUUGGGAAAGAAAAGCAGCAGGUUAAUACCCCGCUGUUCUGACGGUACCCAAAGAAUAAGCACCGGCUAACUUCGUG
This 492-nucleotide ribosomal RNA is filed under the name uncultured bacterium. Its description in RNAcentral is "partial 16S ribosomal RNA". It matches the Rfam family "Bacterial small subunit ribosomal RNA", at positions 29 to 507 of the family's 1533-position model. The record is from RNAcentral.